This 1801-nucleotide ribosomal RNA is filed under the name Escherichia coli. RNAcentral's name for it is "bacterial LSU rRNA". It matches the Rfam family "Bacterial large subunit ribosomal RNA", at positions 970 to 2925 of the family's 2925-position model. Lineage: Bacteria; Pseudomonadati; Pseudomonadota; Gammaproteobacteria; Enterobacterales; Enterobacteriaceae. The record is from RNAcentral.
UGUUAUCACGGGAGACACACGGCGGGUGCUAACGUCCGUCGUGAAGAGGGAAACAACCCAGACCGCCAGCUAAGGUCCCAAAGUCAUGGUUAAGUGGGAAACGAUGUGGGAAGGCCCAGACAGCCAGGAUGUUGGCUUAGAAGCAGCCAUCAUUUAAAGAAAGCGUAAUAGCUCACUGGUCGAGUCGGCCUGCGCGGAAGAUGUAACGGGGCUAAACCAUGCACCGAAGCUGCGGCAGCGACGCUUAUGCGUUGUUGGGUAGGGGAGCGUUCUGUAAGCCUGUGAAGGUGUGCUGUGAGGCAUGCUGGAGGUAUCAGAAGUGCGAAUGCUGACAUAAGUAACGAUAAAGCGGGUGAAAAGCCCGCUCGCCGGAAGACCAAGGGUUCCUGUCCAACGUUAAUCGGGGCAGGGUGAGUCGCCCUGAAGCAACAAAUGCCCUGCUUCCAGGAAAAGCCUCUAAGCAUCAGGUAACAUCAAAUCGUACCCCAAACCGACACAGGUGGUCAGGUAGAGAAUACCAAGGCGCUUGAGAGAACUCGGGUGAAGGAACUAGGCAAAAUGGUGCCGUAACUUCGGGAGAAGGCACGCUGAUAUGUAGGUGAAGUCCCUCGCGGAUGGAGCUGAAAUCAGUCGAAGAUACCAGCUGGCUGCAACUGUUUAUUAAAAACACAGCACUGUGCAAACACGAAAGUGGACGUAUACGGUGUGACGCCUGCCCGGUGCCGGAAGGUUAAUUGAUGGGGUUAGCGCAAGCGAAGCUCUUGAUCGAAGCCCCGGUAAACGGCGGCCGUAACUAUAACGGUCCUAAGGUAGCGAAAUUCCUUGUCGGGUAAGUUCCGACCUGCACGAAUGGCGUAAUGAUGGCCAGGCUGUCUCCACCCGAGACUCAGUGAAAUUGAACUCGCUGUGAAGAUGCAGUGUACCCGCGGCAAGACGGAAAGACCCCGUGAACCUUUACUAUAGCUUGACACUGAACAUUGAGCCUUGAUGUGUAGGAUAGGUGGGAGGCUUUGAAGUGUGGACGCCAGUCUGCAUGGAGCCGACCUUGAAAUACCACCCUUUAAUGUUUGAUGUUCUAACGUUGACCCGUAAUCCGGGUUGCGGACAGUGUCUGGUGGGUAGUUUGACUGGGGCGGUCUCCUCCUAAAGAGUAACGGAGGAGCACGAAGGUUGGCUAAUCCUGGUCGGACAUCAGGAGGUUAGUGCAAUGGCAUAAGCCAGCUUGACUGCGAGCGUGACGGCGCGAGCAGGUGCGAAAGCAGGUCAUAGUGAUCCGGUGGUUCUGAAUGGAAGGGCCAUCGCUCAACGGAUAAAAGGUACUCCGGGGAUAACAGGCUGAUACCGCCCAAGAGUUCAUAUCGACGGCGGUGUUUGGCACCUCGAUGUCGGCUCAUCACAUCCUGGGGCUGAAGUAGGUCCCAAGGGUAUGGCUGUUCGCCAUUUAAAGUGGUACGCGAGCUGGGUUUAGAACGUCGUGAGACAGUUCGGUCCCUAUCUGCCGUGGGCGCUGGAGAACUGAGGGGGGCUGCUCCUAGUACGAGAGGACCGGAGUGGACGCAUCACUGGUGUUCGGGUUGUCAUGCCAAUGGCACUGCCCGGUAGCUAAAUGCGGAAGAGAUAAGUGCUGAAAGCAUCUAAGCACGAAACUUGCCCCGAGAUGAGUUCUCCCUGACUCCUUGAGAGUCCUGAAGGAACGUUGAAGACGACGACGUUGAUAGGCCGGGUGUGUAAGCGCAGCGAUGCGUUGAGCUAACCGGUACUAAUGAACCGUGAGGCUUAACCUUACAACGCCGAAGCUGUU